This 433-nucleotide ribosomal RNA is filed under the name uncultured bacterium. RNAcentral describes it as "partial 16S ribosomal RNA". It matches the Rfam family "Bacterial small subunit ribosomal RNA", at positions 29 to 507 of the family's 1533-position model. The record is from RNAcentral.
AACGAACGCUGGCGGCAUGCCUAACACAUGCAAGUCGAACGAGACCUUUGGGUCUAGUGGCGCACGGGUGCGUAACGCGUGGGAAUCUGCCCUUGGGUUCGGAAUAACAGUGAGAAAUUGCUGCUAAUACCGGAUGAUGUCUUCGGACCAAAGAUUUAUCGCCCAGGGAUGAGCCCGCGUAGGAUUAGCUAGUUGGUGGGGUAAUGGCCUACCAAGGCGACGAUCCUUAGCUGGUCUGAGAGGAUGAUCAGCCACACUGGGACUGAGACACGGCCCAGACUCCUACGGGAGGCAGCAGUGGGGAAUAUUGGACAAUGGGCGCAAGUCUGAUCCAGCAAUGCCGCGUGAGUGAUGAAGGCCUUAGGGUUGUAAAGCUCUUUUACCAGGGAUGAUAAUGACAGUACCUGGAGAAUAAGCUCCGGCUAACUCCGUG